RNAcentral lists this non-coding RNA (32 nucleotides) under candidate division WWE3 bacterium GW2011_GWA1_41_8. The record is from RNAcentral. Lineage: Bacteria; candidate division WWE3.
GAAGAUAUAGUCAGUGCAGUCUAGAGAUAGAU